UACGUAGGGUGCGAGCGUUAAUCGGAAUUACUGGGCGUAAAGCGUGCGCAGGCGGUUUUUCAAGACAGGUGUGAAAUCCCCGGGCUUAACCUGGGAACUGCACUUGUGACUGUACGACUGGAGUACGGCAGAGGGGGAUGGAAUUCCGCGUGUAGCAGUGAAAUGCGUAGAUAUGCGGAGGAACACCGAUGGCGAAGGCAAUCCCCUGGGCCUGUACUGACGCUCAUGCACGAAAGCGUGGGGAGCAAACAGG
This 253-nucleotide ribosomal RNA is filed under the name uncultured bacterium. RNAcentral describes it as "partial 16S ribosomal RNA". It matches the Rfam family "Bacterial small subunit ribosomal RNA", at positions 524 to 776 of the family's 1533-position model. The record is from RNAcentral.